CAAAACGGUGUUUGUAAGUUUUCGUUACCAUUAAAACUGAUUAGGUUUCCAUGGAAGACAUUUAGGAAAGUUCAUAAAACCUUUCUACAAAUUGAUUUAUAAAGAAGUUUAGAUUAGAAUGUGUCGUAUUUUUUUUUUUUUUGAAAGAGAAGGCAUAGUAUUCAGCAGUUUCCAAAAUUUGCCAUCAUAUUUACCUACGUUGGGCCGAGAAGGCAACCCGAACCAAUCCGACAAAACCCGGGUCGUGAGAAACAUAGUUUCUUCUAAUUUUAAAUUUGGUUUAAAUAAAUAGUUAUUUAUUUCUUAGUCCAAAAAAAAAAAUAGUUCUUUAUUUCUUGUUGUAAUAUGUAUUUUCUUCUGAUAAAAACGUUAGUCAUAUGUAAAAUUUGAAAUAUACUGUAUCUCUUAU
RNAcentral lists this long non-coding RNA (409 nucleotides) under Capsella rubella. RNAcentral describes it as "long non-coding RNA (CRUB_LNC003359)". The record is from RNAcentral. Lineage: Eukaryota; Viridiplantae; Streptophyta; Magnoliopsida; Brassicales; Brassicaceae.